GCUGUUGCCUUCUCAGUUCCUCUCGUUCUCGAGCAAUACGUUCAGCUUCCUUACGUCGUUCCUUCAGACAACAUAGAAGGAAGAACCAACCAAUGCAAAAUGAAAACAUAAGGUUUCUCAGACGACCUCUUCUCUUCUUUUUUGACUGAGGCUUGUGUCCUGACCAUACCACAACACGCAAGAAAACAACAAAAUGAGGACUACUUCAUCAGUGUACCAAGAAAGUCUAUAUGCUUAUCAACAAAAUAAAUCCUUACUUGCUACUUCUA
Long non-coding RNA from Aethalodelphis obliquidens (Pacific white-sided dolphin), 269 nucleotides. RefSeq lists it as uncharacterized. The transcript is spliced from 2 exons. Lineage: Eukaryota; Metazoa; Chordata; Mammalia; Artiodactyla; Delphinidae. The record is from RefSeq and is a predicted model, not a curated record.